Long non-coding RNA from Stegodyphus dumicola, 731 nucleotides. RefSeq lists it as uncharacterized. Lineage: Eukaryota; Metazoa; Arthropoda; Arachnida; Araneae; Eresidae. The record is from RefSeq and is a predicted model, not a curated record.
GCCUUCGGGCGCGGUGUAUUUUAAAUACACCUCUUAAAUUUUUAACUUUAUGGCCUAUGGUAAGAUGAUAAUAUACUGGUAAGAGCUCCUAGUAGCUAAAGCCAGCAGUAAAGAUAUGAUCCAAGAGCUGAUGUGUUAAUUUACAGCAGACAUUGAGCGACGGCAUUGCUUUCUGUGUUUCGAGCGUCAUUAUUGACUUCACGCGACCAGUGAGGACAGAGUCGGUCUUGGAAGCUGUGGAUUCUAGUGGUUUAGUCGCAUGCUUUGUUUGGGAAUUUGUGGAGUUUUGCAGGAAGUGAAGAAAUAACUGUAGUAUGUUCUAUUUCUCGAGAAAUGAAGAAAUAUGAAGAAAAUGGGUAAUUGAUUCUUAUCCAUUGGAAUGUAUUCCGAGCACAGGAGCAUGCACUUUUGAAUUACUUGCAGCUCAUGAAAACUUAACAGUAAAGCCACCGUAUAACCAUGCGCUAGAAAAAAAAGCCUCCCUUUUCUGCAGUGCAACUCAAGUUUCGGUGGAUUUUUACAUGGACAUAACUUUUUCCCUUGUCCCCAAGUAAAUUUCUUUAUGUUACUUUUAUUAAUUUUGUCAUGUAAUUCUUUAAUGUGGUGUUUCUGUUUUAACUAAAUUUAUUUUAUUAAAUGUACAAAAUUUUCAAAGCUAAAUUUUGUCAGUUACUUACAAUUUUUUGCUAGCCAGUAAAACAAUGUUGGCAAGAUUUAACUAAAGUUUCUGU